GAUGAACGCUGGCGGCGUGCCUAAUACAUGCAAGUCGAGCGAACGGACGAGAAGCUUGCUUCUCUGAUGUUAGCGGCGGACGGGUGAGUAACACGUGGAUAACCUACCUAUAAGACUGGGAUAACUUCGGGAAACCGGAGCUAAUACCGGAUAAUAUUUUGAACCGCAUGGUUCAAAAGUGAAGGACGGUCUUGCUGUCACUUAUAGAUGGAUCCGCGCUGCAUUAGCUAGUUGGUAAGGUAACGGCUUACCAAGGCAACGAUGCAUAGCCGACCUGAGAGGGUGAUCGGCCACACUGGAACUGAGACACGGUCCAGACUCCUACGGGAGGCAGCAGUAGGGAAUCUUCCGCAAUGGGCGAAAGCCUGACGGAGCAACGCCGCGUGAGUGAUGAAGGUCUUCGGAUCGUAAAACUCUGUUAUUAGGGAAGUACAUAUGUGUAAGUAACUGUGCACAUCUUGACGGUACCUAAUCGGAAAGCCACGGCUAACUACGUG
This 497-nucleotide ribosomal RNA is filed under the name uncultured bacterium. Its description in RNAcentral is "partial 16S ribosomal RNA". It matches the Rfam family "Bacterial small subunit ribosomal RNA", at positions 28 to 507 of the family's 1533-position model. The record is from RNAcentral.